GUUUUGUGGCAACGCAAGGAAUGAGAUUUGUUCUUAUUGCACAGGCAGGCUUACUGGAAUUUUGUAGGAGUUUCAGACACUUAAAACCCCUACAGCGUAGAGGGCUUACACACAUUAGAAAAUAAGACACUGUUCUAUUUCAGCUGAUUGUAUUAAAGCAAUCUUCAAAAUAAAGCCAUUGCAAGUCAUGUAAUGCUGCUAAGGACUGUAUUUUUGGUGACUGAGAAGGUUCUUUCUGAAAUGGGAGGAUGUUACUGAAAAAUACUUCCUUUGACAUUAAAACUCUCCUAUAUACACAAUGUUGAGCUGAUUAGUUAAACCCAGCACAGCAUAAAACCAGAAAGAAGGAUCAAAUUGUGCAAUUGCAAGUCCCAGUUCUGUGAGGGAGUUUAAUGCUCCCUGUAUACAAUACCUUAUAUAUUGUGCAGCCUUGAAUACGUUACCCUUGGAGAGAUCUGCGGUCUCAGUACUCCCAACAACUACCCAUAAAUUGCUGGGUGAAAGUAGUAAGGAGUAGUAAAUCAGUCCCAGUAUCCUGAAACGCUGUUGCACGUGAAACCUGAUUCAUGUCUGGAGUCUUUGGUGUAUAAGUGGCUCCUCCUGCAGCAGCUCCCUAAAAUGAAGAGGGAUAAAGGAGGAAAAAAAAAAAAAGAGGUGUAGUUUAAACUUCCUAGCUCCUACAAAAAUAGAUAUGUACAAUGUCAGAGUGCUAAUACUUGUGAUUAAUGUUUUUAUCACAGACCGGUUUGGGUUGGAAGGGACCUCACAGCCCAUCCAGUCCCACCCUUUGCCAUGGGCAGGGACACCCUCCACCAGCCCAGGUUGCCCAAAGCCCCAUCCAACCUGGCCUUGAACACUGCCAGGGAGCCAGGGGCAGCCACAGCUGCUCUGGGCAACCUGUGCCAGGGCCUCAGCACCCUCACAGGGAAGGAUUUCCUCCUCAGAUCUCAUCUCCAUCUCCCCUCCGUCAGCUUCAGGCCAUUCCCCUUGUCCUGUCACUCCCUGCCCUUGUCACCAGCCCCUCUCCAGCUUUCCUGGAGCCCCCGCAGGGACUGGAAGGGGCUCUAAGGUCUCCCCGGAGCCUUCUCUUCUCCAGGCUGAACCACCCCAACUCUCUCAGCCUGUCUCCAUAGGAGAGGUGCUCCAGCGUAAUUCUGCCCGAGGAAGCUGUGACUGAUGCUAUUAGCACCUGGUACAUAAAACUAAAUCAUAUCUUAUGCCAAAACAAGCACAGUCAAAGACUUUCCUCAAUUAUUUUACAAAAAAAGUAAGACUGGAGCUGUUUUUAGAGCCUGAUGUAAUACUGUCCUGAUCGUUUCUUCAUCAGCUGGCAUGUACUGCCCCACUUGCGUUACAGUACAUGCUGUAAUGAAAGAGGUGAUGCAUAGCUGCAGAAACCAGUGGGUAGACGGACAAAGCAAAGCAAAUUGUCCUCAGUUUUGAACAAAUGCAAUAUAUUUCCUUUUUCUGUUACUGUUUCAAGUUAAAUACAGCUACUGUGGAGAGUACAGGAGAGCUGGCAGUGAAUGCUACUACCACUGCGGUGCAAAUAAGCAAAGUCAACGCGUCUGACUAAUCUCCCUCGGUGCAGUAUUGCUGCCGUUCCCCCCCUCCGCACCAUCCUGCUGCUGCACGUACCCUACAGCAACACCGCCGCUGCCGUUCCGAUACGACAGCCCAGCACCGAUUCGUAUCGGGUAUUUCUGGUGCUUUAACAGGUGAGAGAGGCAGGUCAAACCUCAGCAGGCCAAUGGAAAAAACCUAAAGGUAAGUACACCAGUUGGAGCAUUGGGCAUGAGAAAUAGUGUGAACUAACUAGAGUAUAUGAGUAUCUGAAGGAUGCAAAUGCAGGAAAUGGGAUUCUUGUUAGGAUGCUGUUAAAAGGUUUCAGCUAACUGUCACAAACAUUUGCAAUGAAGUACGUGACGCUAUGGUGGAGAUACUGUAAGUGGAUGAAGGGCCAACAAGCGGCUCUGGAAAGCCAUCCUCUGGCAGGAACAGACACGUCUAAACCUUCCUUCAGCCGAAGUCAAUGGAAAUCCUCCCCUUAAUCUCAGGGCAGGACUUCACUUUGAGCCCCAGCAGUACAGUUUUUACACAAGUGAUUGAAAUAAGCUAGGCAAGGCUUGUUGUUUACUGAGCGGGUAGCCAAGCUGCAUGAAGGUGGUGAUGUGGAAGAGGCAGGAAGCUGUUCUCCAGAGUCAUCGCCCUGCCAGGUCUGCAUCGCUCAGCAGGCAACCGCUGCUCGUCUGCGCUGCAGGACUGCGACGGCUUCCAGAAGUGGCACUUCCUUCAAGGAGCUCGACCAUGUCUGCUUACCCUAACCAAGAAGAGGAAGAUGCCAGUUAGUAACCACCUAAUACGGAGUUAGUUAUUACAGUAUUGUUAGUUUAUUCAUAUGGAAGUGAAUUAGACCAUAUGAAAUUCUCGAAGACAUUUAAAAAUAUUUCUCAGGUGCAUGAUGAAGUUUUUACUCUUAAUAAAAUACCCGUUUUCUGUUUCGCAUUUCAA
Molecule: long non-coding RNA, 2511 nt
Organism: Grus americana (Whooping crane)
Lineage: Eukaryota; Metazoa; Chordata; Aves; Gruiformes; Gruidae
Exons: 2
Source: RefSeq, a predicted model, not a curated record